GCUGCUUUCACUGGCCCGGUGGGGGCCAGCAGGGUCAGGGCCCGCGGAAACCCUCAGCCUGGCGGGCCGGGAGGCCGCGGUGCUGCACUGGCUCGGCGCGCUCCCCGAGUGGCGCUCAGGCGGGGCGCGUUCAUUUCAUCUACAGACUGUCGGGAAGGCUUCCCGAACUCCUCCUCCCUGCCCGCCUUUGCGCAGGGCCGGACUCUUCGGAAACUGAAAUCACGGGCCGCCCGGCCCCCACCAGUCCUCGUGGGAUCCGGCCCGGGUUAACCUUCUAUGGGGAGGCCCAGGAGGGCCGGGCGGAGCGCCGGGGCGGGCGUGCGCUGACGUGGCGAGCGGCUCCCUCCACCCGCUCCUCCCGCGGGCACUGCCGAGGCCCAUGGGCGGGAAGCCGGGCGGCGGGCGGGACGUGGCCUCGGUCCCGGCCCUGCCCCGCCCCGCCGCCACUGAGACUCCCAGCGCCACCAACGUCGGAGUUGCAGUUUCUUUAGCUGUCAUAUGCAGACAAGUACUACCCACCUCGCCUUUGGAGUGAGCAGCAUAGGAAGGAAAUAUGGUUAUACUUUCCUUGCU
This 573-nucleotide long non-coding RNA is filed under the name Homo sapiens (human). Its description in RNAcentral is "non-protein coding lnc-JUN-2:11". Lineage: Eukaryota; Metazoa; Chordata; Mammalia; Primates; Hominidae. The record is from RNAcentral.